UGUCUCAUUGGGUUAAGCGUCCCACUUCGUCUUGGUUCAUGGUCUCUCGGUUUCUGGUUUUGAGCCCUGGGUGGCUUCUGUGCUAAUGGCUCUGAAUCUGGAGCCUGCUUCAGAUACUAUCUGUCUCUCUCUCUCUCUCUGCCCAUGCCCCACUUGUGUUCUUUGUGUCUUUCAAAAAUUAAUGUACCUAAAAUCAUUUUCAAUCCGAUAUUUCCUGGAUGGCUCUUUUCACUUUCAUUGCUGAAGAAGCAGGCGUCCGUCUCGUUCAUUGUUCUUUUGUUAUCUUUGGCAUAGCUGACAACAUAUACGACAUUUCCCCAGCCAGCAUCGGGGAUGCGCAGCAUUUCUUCUACCAGCCGGACACCUCUCAUCCACUGUAACACUGCAUUCCUCUAGAGCAUCCCACAUGCUCUCGGAAACUGGACUGUAACUGUGGAUGGUAGCAGUGUCCCAUAAUCUUCUGAUGGUAUUUCAGGAGGUUCUUCAUUCGCAUCUUUGGUUACCUGAGUGUCUCCUGACAUCUCUCAUGUUUCCACUAGACCGCUGCUAUGACGCCCAACAGGGAACCCGAAGCACACAGGGAUUCAGGAGCAGACCAGCUACCGCUUGGGCUCCCACAAAUGGUUGCCUUGGAACUCUUUAUGGAAGAGGAGAAAAUACCCACCACCACCGUUUCAUAACCCUGCACCGAAUGUGGAGACAACAACCACCCACCCCCAAAAGGAAACUCCAGCAGGGUGCAUGUAUUGAACCUAAGGUGUUGAAGCAGGCAUUUCUUAAGCUGAAGUAGCAGACAACUCUUAAGCUGAAGAAGCUUGCAUCACUUAAGCUGAAGAAACACGUAUCUCUUAAGGCUUGCAUCUUCCCUCUACCUCUAUACUCCAAGUUCCUGGCUGGCACUGGAAUUACAUCUUUAGCCAAGACAUCAUAACCUCCAG
Herpailurus yagouaroundi (jaguarundi) is the source of this 938-nucleotide long non-coding RNA. RefSeq lists it as uncharacterized. NCBI's taxonomy places the organism in Eukaryota, Metazoa, Chordata, Mammalia, Carnivora, Felidae. The transcript is spliced from 6 exons. The record is from RefSeq and is a predicted model, not a curated record.